Molecule: non-coding RNA, 83 nt
Filed under: [Clostridium] hylemonae
Lineage: Bacteria; Bacillati; Bacillota; Clostridia; Lachnospirales; Lachnospiraceae
Description: Clostridium hylemonae ZTP sequence
Rfam family: ZMP/ZTP riboswitch aptamer (pfl RNA motif)
About the family: Previously known as pfl RNA. ZMP is also known as AICAR.
Source: RNAcentral
AAAGGACUUCAUUACUGACGGAUAAUGUGGGUUACCACAGGGGAAUGAAGUCUUGGAAUAAGCCGACCGUCUGGGCAGCAUCA